RNAcentral lists this long non-coding RNA (712 nucleotides) under Homo sapiens (human). Its description in RNAcentral is "HSALNT0108827". Lineage: Eukaryota; Metazoa; Chordata; Mammalia; Primates; Hominidae. The record is from RNAcentral.
CUCUGGAGGAAUGAGUCCCUUUUGCAGCCACAAGACAAAUCUGUCAGAAUGAUGUCUUUUUUCUAGAUGGGGUCUGGGUGACAGAGUGCAGUGCCUCUUAUUGCAACUUCCAGCUCCCAGGCUCAAGCCAUCUUCCCACCUCAGCUACCAGAGUAGCUGGGACUACAGGACCGUGCCACCAUACCUGGCUAAUUUUUGUAUUUUUUGUAGAGACGGGGUUUCGCCAUGUUGCCAAGGCUGGUCUUGAACUCCUGGGCUCAAGUGAUCCUCCUCACUGGCUUCCCAAAGUGCUAGGAUUACAGAAGUGAUCCACCACAUCUGGCCACCUUUACUUUCUUUUCAGGAGAUUUUUCACAGUUUAAAAGGUUCUGCUGCUUACAAUUUCUCAGCUCAACAAUGACUUUGCAAUCCAGGCAGGACAGCCCACUUGGAACAUUGGUGCCUGUGCCAAAGAGUGAACAGCGGGCCAGUGGAAUCCAGUGUUCCUACGUCCUUCUGCUCUGACUCCUCCUGACUUGUCCAGUCUUAUUAACUGCCACGCUCAUGCGGCCAUGUACACUCCCCGAAUUCAGCACUACUUGUAUCAUCUUAAGCCAAGAGAUUGAUAAACUCCAGAAAUAAUCUCAGAAAUAAAUGUUGAAUAUUUCUAAAUCUGACUGAUUUUGUUGGUAUCUGACUGUUAUGGAAUUGUCAUCUAUGUUCCCAAGCAGAC